Sander lucioperca (pikeperch) is the source of this 1422-nucleotide long non-coding RNA. RefSeq lists it as uncharacterized. The record is from RefSeq and is a predicted model, not a curated record. The transcript has 2 exons. Lineage: Eukaryota; Metazoa; Chordata; Actinopteri; Perciformes; Percidae.
UAGACUAUUUAAAUGUAUGACUAUGCACUUAUUGGCCUCUAGUUUCACAAUGGUAAACUGGCGUAAACAGCUGACAGUGGGGUGGUGACACAAAAUGUCAAACUCACCAAGGAUGACUCUAAAGAUGAAGUGGGAUAAGCACAGGAUGUAGAGUAUACAAUACGCACAACAGUGAAACACAGAAAGUUACUUUGGGAAUAUUAAAAAUGAAUGAAAUAAGCAUCAAAAAUGAUCUUACAGCAAAUAAUUUAAUCAAUAAAAUUAAAUUGUGAGUCAGUAAACCUAAAGGUCCCAAUAGGGUGAUUAUAAGAAUGUUAUACAGGGCUUACGUUGAUAGAAAUAAGUGAACUAGUGCUCCAGAAAAUUCACUUUUUCGUUUGUUUAAUUGAUAUAGCACUUAUAUAUACACAUAUAAUAGUGUUUCCCAGCAGCACAUUGCUUUGCUUCUAACUAAACACACAAAAUGGCUUAAAGUUUAUGUGUAUGCACAUGGAAAUGGAUUUGGUAAAAUAAGCCACUUAAGAACCAAAAUACUAAUUUGAGGUUGUAUGAGACACAUUUCCUUAUUUUUUUAGGAUGAUGUGUGUGUGUGUUUCAAGCUGUAGGUAAAUAUGAUUUAUGUGACAGGAGACUGAUGGAUAUUAGUGGUAAACUGAAAUGAUACAGAUCUCAAAGUUCUGUAAAACCGUGAUGAGGUUAACGAUAUCCCUAGCUGAGAUAGCUGGUGGAGGGACAACCUACAAAGCGCUGAUACACUGAGUCACUUUGCACCGUAAUGUGUUUACAAUAAUUAGAGGCCACAUUAGUGAAAACACAAUCAAUCAUAAACUUACAGUAAAGGAAGAGUUGAAAAUGAGGACCCCCCCCCUCUCUGUUAUCUACUCUUAUGGUCAUUAUAGGUUGUGGUCUCUAUCCAAAUUGCAUAUUGAUUUCUGCUGUUUUCAUGGAAAGCUAUUUAGUUAUUACUGAAUUUCAAACUUUUACACAACUGAAUUAUAGAUGAUACUAUUUACAUUGAACAAGAAAUGUGAAGCACCAUACAUUUUGAGAAUAACAGAUUCUAGUUUGUUGUUGUGCUGAUAAUGCUACAAUGAUGCUCUCAUUCUGAGACAAAAUCUUAUUUCCUCAUCCAUUCCUCUACGUGUUGCUGUCUAGCUUUUCCUUUUUAUUCAGUUUCAUUAUGAUUCUUUUUAAUUUUUUAAUUUAAACUUUAUUUAAAGGUUGUCUACAAAGUUACUGGAUUUUAAUGAGCACACAGUGGGAUGCCUGUUGCUCAUCUGUUAGACAGGUUUUUUCUUUUUAAGGUUUGUGAUCAGGUUUGACUCCUCACAUGACAAAUUGCCUCUAUCCUUGACAUUAAUUUAUUCUUGCAAUGACUUGCUCUAAAAUGUCAAUUGAGAUUAAAAAAAAAGACUACCUUGA